GUGGCAGUAAGACCGUCCCAAUGCCUUGUUGGCAUAAAAAAGAGGUAGCACAGGAAUCUGGGAUACAGAAGACCCCUCCCCUCAUCUCUGAGGCUGAUGUGAGACUUUUCAUUUCAUUAUGUCACUGGGUCAUGAUACCAGACACCUGCAACUUAAAGAAAAAGAGGUCCAUUCUGGUUCAUGUUUUAGUAGUCCUCAGUACUUUUUUUUUUUUUAAAUCGGUACCUGGGAUCAAACUCAUGACCACACACUUGCAAGGUCAUCAGCUCCCACAGUCGAGGGUAUGAAGAUCGUCUUCAUGACAGGUUCCUGCCCUCAUGCAUCCUGGAUGGAGACUGCAGAUCCUGGCUCUUCCAAAAGAAGCCAACAUCACAUCAGCCGCCAUCCAGACCCGGCUUUGGUCCUGGGCCUGGAAGUCAAUUGUCUUGGUUAAUUUUUUCUUGCUGCUGGGACAAAAUACCUGACACCCAAAAUAAAGGGGGCAAAGGUUUAUUUAGCUCACUA
Molecule: long non-coding RNA, 504 nt
Organism: Cavia porcellus (domestic guinea pig)
Lineage: Eukaryota; Metazoa; Chordata; Mammalia; Rodentia; Caviidae
Exons: 2
Source: RefSeq, a predicted model, not a curated record